GCAGUCGUGGCCGAGUGGUUAAGGCAAUGGACUAGAAAUCCAUUGGGGUCUCCCCGCGCAGGUUUGAAUUUUGUCGACUGUG
Molecule: non-coding RNA, 82 nt
Organism: Ixodes scapularis (black-legged tick)
Lineage: Eukaryota; Metazoa; Arthropoda; Arachnida; Ixodida; Ixodidae
Source: Rfam